RNAcentral lists this ribosomal RNA (521 nucleotides) under uncultured Pseudomonadota bacterium. RNAcentral describes it as "bacterial SSU rRNA". It matches the Rfam family "Bacterial small subunit ribosomal RNA", at positions 383 to 896 of the family's 1533-position model. The record is from RNAcentral. Lineage: Bacteria; Pseudomonadati; Pseudomonadota.
CUGAUCCAGCCAUGCCGCGUGCGGGAAGAAGGCCUUCGGGUUGUAAACCCGCUUUUAUUUGGGAAGAAGGAGUCGGGGCGAAUACCCUCGAUGACGGACGGUACCGGAUGAAUAAGCACCGGCUAACUACGUGCCAGCAGCCGCGGUAAUACGUAGGGUGCGAGCGUUAAUCGGAAUUACUGGGCGUAAAGGGUGCGCAGGUGGUUAUUUAAGACAGAUGUGAAAUCCCCGGGCUCAACCUGGGAACUGCGUUUGUGACUGGAUAGCUAGAGUGCGGCAGAGGGGGGUGGAAUUCCACGUGUAGCAGUGAAAUGCGUAGAGAUGUGGAGGAACACCGAUGGCGAAGGCAGCCCCCUGGGCUAACACUGACGCUCAGGCACGAAAGCGUGGGGAGCAAACAGGAUUAGAUACCCUGGUAGUCCACGCCCUAAACGAUGUCAACUGGGUGUUGGGGGAGCGAUUCCUCAGUACCGUAGCUAACGCGUGAAGUUGACCGCCUGGGGAGUACGGCCGCAAGGUUA